CUGAGCCAUAGUGGAGGGGGCGGACCCUUGGAGGACUCGAAGGGCAGGGUGGGCAUCCUUUCAUCUCCCUCCCAGAUGGAAACCUGGAACCCAGACCCUCAGCAUCCCAGGGCUGGGAGGAUGGACCGUAUCGGUAGGCUGUGACCCUGAGCGAUGUGGUCCCGACCAUGUUCUGCUGGUGGCUUGGUCAGGUCGGGCUCUCAGGAGAAUACUGCAGGCGAGACGGCUUGUGGGUGCCCAGCACGGCCCAGCAUGUCUGUGGGGAGGACGGAAAGCCAGCCUUGGAGCCUGAGGAUCUCAGAGCACUGCCCACGCAGCAGAAACUGGAAGAGUGUAUCUUGCACAAGGCCAGCGCGGAGAAUAAAAUUCCCAUCGGAGAGGUGGCCUCCCGGUACCAGGAGGAAGGGGGACUUUCUUAUCACCAGGGGCAGGGAACUGGGGGUCAAGAAAUCUG
Long non-coding RNA from Cervus elaphus (red deer), 454 nucleotides. RefSeq lists it as uncharacterized. The record is from RefSeq and is a predicted model, not a curated record. The transcript is spliced from 3 exons. NCBI's taxonomy places the organism in Eukaryota, Metazoa, Chordata, Mammalia, Artiodactyla, Cervidae.